Molecule: ribosomal RNA, 174 nt
Filed under: Aliarcobacter butzleri
Lineage: Bacteria; Pseudomonadati; Campylobacterota; Epsilonproteobacteria; Campylobacterales; Arcobacteraceae
Description: partial 23S ribosomal RNA
Rfam family: Bacterial large subunit ribosomal RNA
Source: RNAcentral
GUUGGGUAGCUACGUACGGAUGUGAUAAGAGCUGAAAGCAUCUAAGCUCGAAGCCAACUCUAAGAUUAACUUUCCCUGAAGUUCCCAGCAAGACUAGCUGGUUGAUAGGCUGGAUGUGUAAGCGUUGUAAGACGUUUAGCUGACCAGUACUAAUAGAACGUUUGGCUUAUUUUA